RNAcentral lists this ribosomal RNA (253 nucleotides) under uncultured bacterium. Its description in RNAcentral is "partial 16S ribosomal RNA". It matches the Rfam family "Bacterial small subunit ribosomal RNA", at positions 524 to 776 of the family's 1533-position model. The record is from RNAcentral.
UACGAAGGGGGCUAGCGUUGUUCGGAAUUACUGGGCGUAAAGCGCGCGCAGGCGGUCUUCCAAGUCAGUGGUGAAAGCCCGGAGCUCAACUCCGGAACUGCCAUUGAAACUGUGAGACUGGAGUACGAGAGAGGUGAGUGGAAUUCCCAGUGUAGAGGUGAAAUUCGUAGAUAUUGGGAAGAACACCGGUGGCGAAGGCGGCUCACUGGCUCAUUACUGACGCUGAGGCACGAAAGCUAGGGGAGCAAACAGG